UGAGUAACCUGCCCUUAACUCUGGGAUAAGCCUGGGAAACUGGGUCUAAUACCGGAUAUGACUCCUCAUCGCAUGGUGGGGGGUGGAAAGCUUUUUGUGGUUUUGGAUGGACUCGCGGCCUAUCAGCUUGUUGGUGAGGUAAUGGCUCACCAAGGCGACGACGGGUAGCCGGCCUGAGAGGGUGACCGGCCACACUGGGACUGAGACACGGCCCAGACUCCUACCGGAGGCAG
RNAcentral lists this ribosomal RNA (233 nucleotides) under uncultured bacterium. RNAcentral describes it as "partial 16S ribosomal RNA". It matches the Rfam family "Bacterial small subunit ribosomal RNA", at positions 118 to 351 of the family's 1533-position model. The record is from RNAcentral.